Molecule: long non-coding RNA, 2585 nt
Organism: Oncorhynchus tshawytscha (Chinook salmon)
Lineage: Eukaryota; Metazoa; Chordata; Actinopteri; Salmoniformes; Salmonidae
Source: Ensembl
CCAGGAUUGUAACUCCUCCCCUGCCUCCUUCCCCCCCAGAGCUGUCACCCCUACCCUCCCUCCAUCCUUAGAAGGUGCUCCCUCCCCAUUUUCCCUAUCUCGACAUUGCCGGCGGUUCCCCACUAUAGGGUCGGCAUCUCAAGUGGAAAAGGAGGCAGUUCAAUAUUGGUUGCUUAUGAUGCUAUUAUAGUUGACGUGUCCACUGUUCACAGGUGCUCCAUGUGUUAAGCAGCCAAGUUAACUAUAGCGUAUAGUGUUUCAUCCGAUAGGAUUCCAAUACAAGGAUCUAAUUAGAGGCCAAUAUGAAAAUCCUGUCAGAUUUUGGAACCAGUCCUUUUGGGCUCUAUUGAAUAGGAUUUUAUAUACAAUAAUCUAAUAUAAAAAUCUUAUCGGUGUGCUGGAGUCUGGUGUAGCGGUCUAAGCUCCCAAAUCCGGACCACACAUGCCUCCUCCUAGACGGGGAUUCGAGCCCUGGCUCGGCCGACUGUCUGUGCCCUUAACCACUUCACCCUUCUCUAUAUCUGUCUCCAAAUCAAUCUUACAUCUGUCCUGGAAAAAAACCAAAUAUAAAAUAACAAGUUACCCUACUCAAUAAUAGAAGCCAAAAGAAAAUCCUAUCAGAUUUUGGAACCAGUCCUAUUGGACUCCUGAAGGAUUCUGUCCUAGGUACACGGUACUAUCCCAUGGGAUAAAAUCCUAUCCUAUAGGAUAGCUUCCAAAAUCUUAUUGAAUUUUCUUUGGGAUUCUAAUUGGAUAUUUUUUGGGGGGAUCCUAUAGGAUGUUUUUGACUAGAGAUAUUGCAUACAAUAACAUAAUUCAACACUAUUUUUAUUUGACCUGCAAUUAAACCUUACAUGCCAGUUAUGGAAAAAGCCAUUGAGGGAAAAAGACAUCACAUGACCGGAUACCAGUUGAUUUGUACAGAUUGUCCAAGAAACUGACAGAAGAAGAGCGAUGAGAUACCUUGUAAUGGACGGCAUUACCAGACAGUAUUAGACAGAGUAACUAGAUCUAAACUUGUCUGGUAAGACAACAAUUAUAAGGUCUAGGUAGGAGCAUCAGAGAAAAGUAGCCAGGGUCUUUGUAGCUACAGCAGCUUGUUGACAGACAAGCUGUGAAGAAAGAAGACAGAAAUAAGUUGGAGAAUUGGAAUAGUUCAUAGCAACACACCAGUGGUGAAAAGUUUUUAAAAAUGUAUUGGAGGUAAUAAUAUACAAUUAUAGUAAGACAUUUAUAACUGGAGCAGAUUCUUUGUCAUAAGGCAAUAUUACACAAUCUUUAAAUUAUUUGAUCUUUAAUGGGACAUGCAAAAAAAUGAUGACAUUACAAUUUCAGAGUUCAGAAUGAGUACACAAAGCUGUGAUUAAAUUAUUGAGUGUUGGUAAACCAGAACUCAGAAGAACAACCCUUGACAAACACCUCCAUCACUUAAUGCUUUUGUGUCCACUUUCCACUCAUUUGUACAGCCAACCUCUUGUUACAGAACACACAGUUUGAGAACUCUGUUUCUUUGUAUACCUUUGUUUUACCUUAACAAUCAUAAUGGUGUUGAAUAGGGCAAUAGGUUGAGAGUUAUAACUGGUUGAGAGUAAUGAAAAAAACAACAACUUCAACAAUAGUGAAUCAACCUCUCAUUUUAGUUUAAAUGCAAUAAUCAGAUUCAGCUAAUGCCACCAGAUUUCACUGGAGAAGAGGAGAGAGAGAGAAAUAAAGAGAAAGUGAGAGCAGGAGAGCCAUAGAGGUAGUUGUGUUUAUUUUUCUCACACAGAUCUCAGGUGUCAGCUGCACAAUAUGCCACGCAGGUACAGUAGGGCCGCUGGACCAAUCACGAGCCAACAAAGGCCCAGAUUCAGCUCUGACUGGGGGAGGGGAAGAGGAAGUGGCUCUUACUGCAACAGUCAUUUCACUGGUAUUCUUUAACUACUGGGUGGGGUGGAAAAUCUACACAAAGGGCAGGAGGCAGGGAGGAACUACUUUUCACAAAUGGGGGGUUAGGCGGAAGGUGCUCACCACAGACGACGUUUAGGACUUUUACCUCAUCCUCUUUUCUUAUGGGACUAUCUCUGUCAGCCUUUAAAGUCUGGUGUCACCUGUUCUGGAUGCUUCCUUCAGCCAGUUGUUCCAUCAUUGUCUUAUUCACAUAUGUAGUCCUUUAAAAAAGACUACCCUACUACAGUCUCCAUCUUUCCAUGUUCUGAACUUUGAACUGGAGUUCACGUGACUUAGAGUCUACACCUGAGCAAUGGCAAUGCCAACAGACAUAGAGGGUCUCUCUCUAAAACAUAGAGUUGACUGAAAACAAUUUCCAAACAGUAAAAAACGAUUUAACUGUGAACACGUCCUGCUUCAGGUAUGCGACAGUGCCAUUACACCUAUAUUGGUUGUUGAGAUGGUGUGGUUGUUUGAGGGGCUUUCAGGGGACAUCAUUACCAGACAGUGUUAGAACACCUGUGUACAGCCCAGCACUGUCAGGUAAGACGUGCUUUGGAAGCCAAAGAAAGGGAAGGUCACCAAAAGCACAUAACUAACUAUAUCCAACCUCAGAGCAUAUCUACUUCUACACAACCCUUAGAAUACUAUUCAAA